AUUUGCAGAGUUCUCAUAUAAUCUGAAAAGAGAAAAUACAAGAAAACACAUGAUACAAAGAGGAGCUUUCAGCAUGACAGCCAAAAAAAGGGGAAUGUAUGCUUUCAGAGAGGAGAGAGGCAGAAACAGAGGAAGGAAAGACUAGUGAAGACUUCGGCAGAAAAUAUUUGGCAUCAUGAAAUCGAACAAAACAACUGGUUCCCAGCAAGAAAGCUUCAACUGGAAAUGCAGAACAUAUGGAAGAGCUGCCCACAUCUUUGUGGUUCUCUUAAGACUUGA
RNAcentral lists this long non-coding RNA (279 nucleotides) under Parus major (Great Tit). Its description in RNAcentral is "lncRNA (ENSPMJG00000007126.1)". The record is from RNAcentral. Lineage: Eukaryota; Metazoa; Chordata; Aves; Passeriformes; Paridae.